This 468-nucleotide ribosomal RNA is filed under the name uncultured bacterium. Its description in RNAcentral is "partial 16S ribosomal RNA". It matches the Rfam family "Bacterial small subunit ribosomal RNA", at positions 28 to 507 of the family's 1533-position model. The record is from RNAcentral.
GACGAACGCUGGCGGCGUGCUUAACACAUGCAAGUCGAACGGAAAGGCCCUGCUUUUGUGGGGUGCUCGAGUGGCGAACGGGUGAGUAACACGUGAGUAACCUGCCCUUGACUUUGGGAUAACUUCAGGAAACUGGGGCUAAUACCGGAUAGGAGCUCCUGCUGCAUGGUGGGGGUUGGAAAGUUUCGGCGGUUGGGGAUGGACUCGCGGCUUAUCAGCUUGUCGGUGGGGUAGUGGCUUACCAAGGCUUUGACGGGUAGCCGGCCUGAGAGGGUGACCGGCCACAUUGGGACUGAGAUACGGCCCAGACUCCUACGGGAGGCAGCAGUGGGGAAUAUUGCACAAUGGGCGGAAGCCUGAUGCAGCAACGCCGCGUGCGGGAUGACGGCCUUCGGGUUGUAAACCGCUUUCGCCUGCGACGAAGCGUGAGUGACGGUAAUGGGUAAAGAAGCACCGGCUAACUACGUG